UAGGACAGAACUGCUCUGAUACCACUUUUGCCAUGACACAAACCGAUGGGCUGUGACGGGCACCUGGUACCUUACUCAACCGAGUACCAACGUAACGUAUCUUUCUUAUUACAUCAUCAUAUACACGUGACAUACGGGCAUACAUAAACAUAGGCCAACAAGGUCAACAUGAUCUUAUUACAACAUGAUCAUUUAUAAACUCAAAACAUAGGCCAACAAGGUCGUACAAUCUUUCACGUACACCACAUAUGUCUACAAGACUCUAAGCAUACAUAAAUGUCAUAAAGGUCGGGAUAGAGCCCCGCCAUACCAAACAAUACACGUCCAAAUCAUACUAACCAAAUACGCAACUCCGAAGCAAAUUGAAUGCACCAACAUCUUCCGCUGAGAUGAUAGCCUACUUGGAGGGCUCUCUACCUGUCUGUCUGGACCUGAGGGCAUGAAACAUAGCGUCCCCAGGCAAAAUGGACAUCAAUACAAAAUAAUAUACAGAGUAUGUAAGACAAUAUACUGAAAGCUGAAACUGAACUGAUAAUAUAAUAACUGCAAGUAGCUGAAAGUCAAAGAUAAUCUGAAGACACCCUUGAGGUUGUCAAGUAAAGUUAUGCCACAAAAUGAAAACACCCUUUGAUCCUCUCUAAUAGGUGUUGUAUCUAUUAAAAUAUAUCAACAAUUAACAUUUGGAAAUCAUACUAACAAUUAAUGUGCAUAAGACAUAUAAAAUCAAAAGUUUCUUGGUAACUUUCUGCUAAGAACAGUUCGAUCUGCAAUGUCACGAAAUCGUAUACAAUUAUCUCUUUGUUUAUGUUAAUUUUUAGUUUAGUUUUUCGUGUGUUCUUGGUAACAAUAUUGUAAAAUUAAAGAAGAAAAGAUUAAUGAAUCUUGUAGUGUUUCAAAAAUUGUUCACGUUAUUCAAAAUCAUUGAAAUCGUAAUACAAUAUCUCCAAUGCCUCUCGUUAAUUAUCUAACUGUAGAAGAUUUUAGCUUUAGAUUAGUUUCACCGUAAAAUCUGUAAUUAAAGGUUUCAUAUUUGAAUUCUGGGAAUGCUUACAUGUUGAUACUGACUCAACUCUUUCAAUAUAGUAAGUAAAAUAGUUGUCCAGCCCUAUAAGACUCGGUGUGUGUAUAUAUAUAUAUAUAACUGAUUUGUCGUAGUAGGCUCGCUCAGAGGCGCUCGGCCAUACUAGGUUCUGUAUCUCGACCAACUGGGCUAGCUCAUAAGCGCUCGACCACAGUAGGCUCGAUAUAUAUAUAUAUAUAUAAUUGCUCUACCGUAGUAGGCUGUCUUAUAUGUGCUCGGCCAUACUAGGCUCUGUAUCUCGACCAACUAGGCUCGCUCAUAAGUGUUCGGCCACAGUAGGCUCGGUAUAUAACUUAUCAUCUAAUCAGAAGUUGCCCAAUAGGGGCUUGCCCAUCGAUUAUAGCUCGAUGGUGAUGAAUAUACUUUUAAUACUGUAUAUAUGUAAAUUCUCUGCUCUCUUGACUAGAAGAAGGAAAUAAUCAACUAAAUAUGAAGUCCCAAUAAGGAGAAUAUUAUAACUUACAAAACUAUGAAAAUAUAUGCAAUUUUCGAGAUUAGCAAAAUGUACGUAAAUUUCGGGAUAUGAUUUUUUCUUUAUGCCUCGUUAUCAAACUUGUAUAAUGAGGAGAUCAUACCAAAAUAAAGGAAAAGCUUAUCCUUAACAUACCUAUUUCUUAAAUUAUUUGAUCGAAGUGAAGCUUCUACUUCCGUGAAAUAUGUUGGAAAGAGAAAACAAAGCUUCUGCUUCUGAAAUUAGAAUGAACUUUGCUUGAAUUUUGUUGGAGUUGGACGAAUUUGCUUUAAUUGAAGCCUUUGCUUUUGAAUUGAAAUGUUUCUGCCUCACCACUUCUUUUGAACAAAGGACAACAAUGAUUUUGAUAAAUGGUAAAGACAGAAUGUCUUUGUUUUAACCACAAGACAAAUGCUUUUAAUCUUAUUUUGAUAAGACUUCAAGUUAUGUUUCUG
RNAcentral lists this long non-coding RNA (1987 nucleotides) under Nicotiana tabacum (common tobacco). Its description in RNAcentral is "long non-coding RNA (NTAB_LNC014244)". Lineage: Eukaryota; Viridiplantae; Streptophyta; Magnoliopsida; Solanales; Solanaceae. The record is from RNAcentral.